AAGUGGACGAUUGGAAGUAAAAGUCGUAACAAGGUUUCCGUAGGUGAACCUGCGGAAGGAUCAUUACAACGUAUCCACGUACCAAACUCUCGAACUGUUCCCAAUGAAGAUGAAGUUAAUGGUCGAGCUGCUUUUCGCUGAUGGAGUUCGCCUGGCGAACUGAAAGGCUCUCGAUUGCCAGCUGACCUUCGGGCCUGCCUGGGACUUCAUUCACUUCAUUGUGGUUUUUCCCAUCAGCAUUGUUUUACCAUUAUUAACCCUUUUACAAUUCGAACUGAUCUAUGAAAUCAAGCAGCUGUCCUCGCUGGCUUCGGUCACGGACCGUUGGUUGUUUUCACACAUACGAAACAAAGAACAACUCUUAGCAACGGAUAUCUUGGCUCUCGUAUCGAUGAAGAACGCAGCAAAAUGCGAUACGUAAUGCGAAUUGCAGAAUUCAGUGAAUCAUCAAAUCUUUGAACGCAAAUUGCGCUCUCGGGAUAGGCCUGGGAGCACGCCUCUUUGAGUAUCGUUUCAACCACAACUCGAAAGCGUGCUUAAUUGCACGCUGACGGAAAUUGAGCGCUUCUCGAGCAAUCGAGACGCUUGAAAUUGAGCGAGCGACACGAUUUCUGACGUGAAAUUGACUUUGUCUCAAGUGACGAGGAUAACUUCACAUUCAAUUGUGAACCCUUCCUUCGUGACUCUCGAGGCGGAUUGUUUCAUGCCGGUCAUCUGCAAUGUUGCGGACCCUCUGCAGGCGUCUCUUACGAUGACUGCAGAACUCUAUUUGAACUAGAUCUCAAAUGAAGCGAGAAAACCCGCUGAACUUAAGCAUAUCAAUAAGCGGAGGA
RNAcentral lists this ribosomal RNA (833 nucleotides) under uncultured fungus. RNAcentral's name for it is "eukaryotic LSU rRNA". The stretch from base 357 to 511 matches the Rfam family "5.8S ribosomal RNA". Lineage: Eukaryota; Fungi. The record is from RNAcentral.